UGCCAGCCGCCGCGGUAAUACGGAGGGUGCAAGCGUUAAUCGGAAUUACUGGGCGUAAAGCGCUCGUAGGCGGUUGAUUGGUCAGUCAGAUGUGAAAGCCCCGGGCUCAACCUGGGAACUGCACCUGAUACUGCCAGUCUAGAAUACGGUAGAGGGUAGUGGAAUUUCCUGUGUAGCGGUGAAAUGCGUAGAUAUAGGAAGGAACACCAGUGGCGAAGGCGGCUUUCUGGACCAAUACUGACGCUGAGAUGCGAAAGCGUGGGGAGCGAACAGGAUUAGAUA
RNAcentral lists this ribosomal RNA (282 nucleotides) under uncultured bacterium. RNAcentral describes it as "partial 16S ribosomal RNA". It matches the Rfam family "Bacterial small subunit ribosomal RNA", at positions 506 to 784 of the family's 1533-position model. The record is from RNAcentral.